UAUGUCAUAGGAUAAAGAAUUGUUGUUAUAUACUAUGAUUUACUUUUAUGUUUGCAUGGACAUGAAAGGACAUUGAAUCCAUGAUAAAAAUAAGUUAUUGAAUGAUAGUACUCGUAUAAUUUAUUUUGAAAAUUGCGUACUGUCUAAACAUGUAGACUGAUAUACGCCUACACACUGCACGGGGGUUCGAAUCCCCCCACCUCCACUG
RNAcentral lists this transfer-messenger RNA (208 nucleotides) under Candidatus Nomurabacteria bacterium RIFCSPLOWO2_01_FULL_33_17. RNAcentral describes it as "partial transfer-messenger RNA". It matches the Rfam family "transfer-messenger RNA", at positions 155 to 374 of the family's 374-position model. Rfam says of the family: Bacterial tmRNA, also known as 10Sa RNA or SsrA, is named for its dual tRNA and mRNA-like properties. Its role is to liberate the mRNA from a stalled ribosome. The record is from RNAcentral. Lineage: Bacteria; Candidatus Nomuraibacteriota.